GCCAAAAAUAAAUAAAUAAAUUUAUUUUUAAAAAAUCUCUAACAUCAAUUCCUAGUGCAAAAAACAAACAAUGACACUUUUCUUUUUCUUAGUAAUAAUCUUUGUAGGAUGUUGUUCACAUAUAUGAUGACAAAGUAAACACCAUUCCUUAGUAUUUUUCCUCUACUGUGUUUGUUAUAUGAUGUUCACAUCACAGAGAUUUCCCUAGUUUGGUGUUUCUCUGUUGUAAGCUUAUUUGUUUUCUGAGUACAUUUAGUGAGAAGAGAGAAACAUGUUUGAAACUAUGAAUAAGCAUAAGAGCAUUUAUUCUUAUAUGAUCUAAUCAUUAAAAAUGCUUUUAAAAGGAAGUAAAUUAAAAACCUUCCACACCAUUAUAGAAACACUUUUGAAAAAUCAGUCUCAGGCCUAGCAUGCAAGAUGUUACUUUGGCACGUCUAAUUUUUUUGUGCAGAUUAUCAGGAAUUGGUAUUUUGGAAGUAUAUAUGUGGUCUUGUGUUCUCAUUCUACAUGGCAGGAGUUCAUACAAUGUAUAUUUCUACCGUUGCUACUUUUCACUAACAGAAGUUUUGUUUGCUUGUAACUUUCCCAGGGACUAUUCAUAGUAUGGCAGCACUGAAAUGAUGUAAUAUUUCAUUUGUUUUGAGACUUUAUGUUUGUUAGUAUUAGGCCAACAAGCAUGGGGAAGCAGCAUGGUUAUUGUUUCGCUUACUCAUGUGUGAGCUGAGCGAGGGGCGUUCCCACAUGGUAUGAACUCCUGCCGUAUGCAUUGGUGGGCGACGCCAAUACAAUCAUGUCAAAUGCAAGUGCCGUGAGACGCAUUACUCCUUGGGCACAUAUGGAUCCUGCUCAUUAUGCCAAAGUAACCUUCUGGAAGUCCUAAAACUUUACUCAGAAACCUUUUAUGACUCCCUAAUGCCAACAGAAUUACAGUCCAAGUCUCUUCUCUGGCAGUAGAGGCCCCUGUACCCUCAUUACACUUGCAUUUCCAGCCUCAUUUCCAAAGACAACUGAAAUAAACUGUCUUUUAGCUGCUAAUCUGUAUUAUUUGUGCUAUGUUUAUUAAAAAGAGGGGUCUAUACUCACUUGUCUCUCUUUUCUUUCUUCCUGUAUAAAUUAGAAUGUAAUAGAAAACCCAGCUGAAACAGAAGGUUUUUUUUUGUUGUUGUUGUUUGUUGUUGUUUUUGUUUUUAACGUGACAAGAAGUCCGUAGGUAAAGAGUUGCUAAUAUUUUCUCAGGGGUUCAGUGAUGUCACAGCUCUGAAAUUCACUUGACCUUUACCUCAUGGUUGUAGAAUGGCUGCUACACUUCAAGUAUCACAUCUUCACCAUGGGUGCAAAGGUGGGAAGGCAGGCAGAAAGUUUAUUCUUCAUCAGCCUUAGCCUUGUAGAGGAGGUAAAGUAUUUUCCAAAAACACCCCACCAAAGGAUUUCCUCUUACAUCUCAUCAGUCAGAAUUUUGAUAUAGUUUAGGAACUGGGCCCAUGUUUCCACAUCAAAGGGAAUCUUCUCGAUGCCUAAAGAAAACUGAAGUUCUGUAUAGCAAGGAGGAAAUGCGGGAGUGGUUUUUACUUAGUAAGCACUGCCACGUCUCCUAGUUUGCACCUCAGCAUGUGCAAACCCGUUUGUCCCUGUCACUCUCUAGAAACAUCUUUAACUGCUAUCAUCAGUGACUUUUGGACUUUUUAGUCUAAUGGACACUUUAUUUUCUAACUUGCUUGAGCUUCUUGUGGGGCUCACCCACACCCUCUUUGAAAUUUAUUCAUCAACUAUCCAUUCAUCACUUACUAUGUAUCAGGCACUCUGCUAGGUGAGGAGAAUACAGAACCAAAUCAGGCAUAGUCUUGGCCCUCCACAAGUUUAUAGUCAAGUGGAGAAGACAGGUGAACAGGUAAGUGCAAAAAUAUUAGAGGUGCUGUGAUAAAAUGAGAUAAAGUGGGGCACAGAGAAAAGAGCAGUCAUUUAUAUAACUCAGGUGCUAGGCCCCUUUUCGGGGAAGGAAGGGGUGGUACAGCCAUUAACAAAGACAGUCUUACGGUUUCUUUGUUGGUUGCCUCUUUGCCUUCUGCCCUAGAAAAAUACAGACCUCUAUAGAAAAGGGGGAGAAGAUGAGGACCACGGGGCUGGUCUCUCCCCUUUCCUUGGCCUGACAAAUACAUGUGAAAUUCUGAAGAAUAGUCAACCAAUUUUUUUUUUUAACUUCAGAUUAUCCAACUCAUACAGAAUCCACCCAGUGUAGGGGCUGUGGAGUGACUUCUUUGGUUUGUUUACCUCAUCUUGUGUUCUCUUAAGGGUAUCCGGUCUCACCCCUAAACCCUGGGUAGGCCAUGUCUCUACUCUCUUAGAGCCAGAGUCUGACCACUCAGGAUGGCAGAAAGGACAUGUCUGGAGAGAUGCAAGUUUGUCUGCUGGAUUGAAGAGUAGGACCAGGGAAGAAGACAAGGCGUGAUGAGAGAGAUGAAGCUGGAGAGGAAGUAGCUGCAAGGAGGAGGCUAUUCCCAGGGCUUUGGUCUGUACGCACUCCUCAUACCUGAAAUUUUAUUGGAACUGUGGAAAUGGGGCAGUGGUUUUACUUUUCACUCUGCCUUCAGUGGGACUCCCUGGAAGAAGUGCUGUGCCAGUGACUGGUAUUUCUCCUGAAUAAAGCAUCUUGGCCUUAAUGACCGCA
This is a long non-coding RNA of Aethalodelphis obliquidens (Pacific white-sided dolphin), 2665 nucleotides long. RefSeq lists it as uncharacterized. The record is from RefSeq and is a predicted model, not a curated record. The transcript is spliced from 2 exons. Lineage: Eukaryota; Metazoa; Chordata; Mammalia; Artiodactyla; Delphinidae.